Homo sapiens (human) is the source of this 2516-nucleotide RNA transcript. RefSeq lists it as uncharacterized. The transcript has 5 exons. The record is from RefSeq and is a predicted model, not a curated record. NCBI's taxonomy places the organism in Eukaryota, Metazoa, Chordata, Mammalia, Primates, Hominidae.
GGGGCUCUUGAGCUGCUUCGUUGAUCGAGCCAACUCUCACUCUAUAGAGUGUACUUUCACUUCAAUAAACCUGCACUUUCGUUGCUUCCUUCCUUUGUUGCUUUGUGCAUUUUAUUAAAUCCUUUGUCCAACACGCCAAGAACCUGGACAACUCACAGUCACGACUUCCUAUCUGGUAACACUCAUUCCUUUGCAAAAUGUUUCUUGAUCUCUGUUAAAAGGCAAGUACAUGGUAAGGUGCUCUUAUUCAUGUACUCCUCCAGGUGAAUGAUUUGAUGUCUUCCCUUCCUAAAACCAGGUUUUUAUGGGAGAGGAAGAAGUGGGGAGUAUGAAGACCCCAGGAAAAGAGUUUUUAAAGAGGAGGAGAUCCAAUUUCACACCUUUGAGUAGUCCAGCUCUGGAAUCCAGUACAGGAUUUUUGGAAGAUUCACCAAGAUCCAUCUUUCCUUUUCCUGCUAUUCUUUCCAAAUAGGUAAAGAAGUAGCUGAGGGAAACGCAGCUUUGUGAGGGAAGCCUGGAGCGUGAGAAAUCUGCUCACACUGGAUUCUGCCUCGGGCUCGACAGAAUGUCACAGCAGACCCGCGAUGUGACAGGCUCACUGGUGUACACACGGCUGUGUCGGCCAUGGCCCUGUCAGCUACCCUGAAGCUUCAGAUCUACUUCCUGGCUCAGACCACCUGCAACACACUGGUUUGGCAUCUAGCGGGUUGUGCUUGCAGAACAGCAGGCUGGCUCCGUGCACCUGCUCAGUGGGGCUGGGCUUUAGCAACCUGCAUUGAGGCUGCUCUUCUUAACUUUUCUCUAACUUGCUUCAUGAAAGUUAAUUCUGCUGGGACCCCACGAGGCAGCGGAGAGCCCACUCUGCCCAUGAUUGGUGCCCUGGGCUGGCACGCAGAGUUUAAUGGAGGAGCCCGGGAGAGAGGGAUGCCUGAGAACCAGGGAUGUGGGCUGGAGCAGUGCCACCUCCUCUAACUCACCCGCAAGCCCAGCCAACCGGCUAAACCUUCCCCACAGAGCCUCAGUCUCCUUAUCUGUAAAAUGGAUUACCUGGCACUUGUCCAGUCUUUCUGCAGUCAACAUCGCCCAGAUUCCAUGCAGAACCCUUUGCAGACUCCUGAGGAGGUACAGACAAGGAGUGUCCCUGUCCUCAUGGUGCUACAUGAAAAGGUACAGACAAGGAGUGUCCCUGUCCUCAUGGUGCUACAUGAAAAGGCAAGUGACCCAACAGGCAGCAUUGGAGAAAGUGCCUAACUGUGGAAAGGCCAGUGGGAGAGGCUCGGUGGAGGAGGAACUUGCUGGACUAGAGAGGUCAGGGAAAGCUUCUUGGAGGAAGUGAGGUAUGAGCUGGAAGUAGAAAUACCAGGAAGCCCAGGGCAGGCUUGGGAAUGGGCCAGGCAUGCUCAGGUCCCAGGGCAUAGAGUAACAAUCUGGCUGGAAGAAGGAAUGGAGGAACAAGCUGAUAGGAGGGUGAUUUCAUGUGGACUGGACCCCAUGUUCAGGAGGUGACCACAUAAGCCAGGAUGGGUGGAUAGAGUUAGCUAAUCCUGGAAGAAAUCAUGGAAUAAAAUUAAAUAUAUGCAUUGCUGGCUACAGAUCCAGUUCCUCCUUCCCGGGUCUCUGUGUCCACCCUUCUUGGGGGCCAUCCCACACCUCCCUGCUACUGCCACAACCUUUGCCCUUUCUAAGCAGGUGCUGGGUAGAGAAAGAGGUACAGUGGAACUUGCCAAAUGUCCUCGCCGUGCAACCUCUUGCAGAGGGCCAUGUGUGAUCUUCAGAUCCCAAGAUUUUCUUGAUAUUUAUAAAAGCACCUUUGCCUCCAUUCCCAAACUGAAUUCUCCAUCCCUGGGCUCCAUCUUGAAGGGAAAUGAUCACAGCUGUGGCGAUUGUGUGUCUCCUACUGGUGAGAGCUGGUAACUACAGCAUCUAAUUGGCCGUUUUCCAGACCUCUGCAGGGGAUCAGGACAGCAUAGUGUGUCCUCUGUCUUGAGAAGUUCGCAUCCAGCUCUGCCAUGGACCAGCCAUGCUCAUGGAUUGCCUCUCAUUUUGCUACGGACAGGAGACAGGAAAAUACUGGGUAGAAGAGGGCGGUUCCCGACAAAGGCCCCAACCUCAAGCCUGAAGACCCACGACCCUAAAUGAGGACAGCCAUUUCUGAUUUUGUGCCCAAAAAUUUGCCUUUUGGCCUGCCACACCCAACAUCUUGCCCCUAUAUAAACCCGAGACCUUAGCGGGCACACACACAAUCAGCCAAAUGUUGGGAUUAGCAGACCAGUGGACCAGCGGACCAGCAGACCAGUUAACGGUGGAACAACGCAGCAGAGAAAGAGAGAAGAGGAGGGAUGUCUGAAUGCCAAGGGGAAUUCGGCCGCGGGCAGUUAGAAAAGUCUGGCUGCUGGGCGGCCCGACUCUAGGGGAAGACCACCUUCCCACUCCAUCCCCUGUUCUGGCUCCCCAUCCAUCUCCCUGAGAGCCACCUCUACCACUCAAUAAAACCUUUCAUUCAUCCUUUGAGCCCA